RNAcentral lists this ribosomal RNA (734 nucleotides) under uncultured bacterium. RNAcentral describes it as "bacterial SSU rRNA". It matches the Rfam family "Bacterial small subunit ribosomal RNA", at positions 97 to 818 of the family's 1533-position model. The record is from RNAcentral.
GGCGAACGGGUGAGUAACACGUGGGCAACCUGCCCAAAAGAGGGGGAUAACACUUGGAAACAGGUGCUAAUACCGCAUAACCAUAGUUACCGCAUGGUAACUAUGUAAAAGGUGGCUAUGCUACCGCUUUUGGAUGGGCCCGCGGCGCAUUAGCUAGUUGGUGGGGUAAAGGCUUACCAAGGCAAUGAUGCGUAGCCGAACUGAGAGGUUGAUCGGCCACAUUGGGACUGAGACACGGCCCAAACUCCUACGGGGGGCAGCAGUAGGGAAUCUUCCACAAUGGGCGAAAGCCUGAUGGAGCAACGCCGCGUGGGUGAAGAAGGUCAUCGGAUCGUAAAACCCUGUUGUUAGAGAAGAAAGUGCGUGAGAGUAACUGUUCACGUUUCGACGGUAUCUAACCAGAAAGCCACGGCUAACUACGUGCCAGCAGCCGCGGUAAUACGUAGGUGGCAAGCGUUAUCCGGAUUUAUUGGGCGUAAAGGGAACGCAGGCGGUCUUUUAAGUCUGAUGUGAAAGCCUUCGGCUUAACCGGAGUAGUGCAUUGGAAACUGGGAGACUUGAGUGCAGAAGAGGAGAGUGGAACUCCAUGUGUAGCGGUGAAAUGCGUAGAUAUAUGGAAGAACACCAGUGGCGAAAGCGGCUCUCUGGUCUGUAACUGACGCUGAGGUUCGAAAGCGCGGGUAGCAAACAGGAUUAGAUACCCUGGUAGUCCACGCCGUAAACGAUGAAUGCUA